CGGGUUGUAAAGCACUUUCAGUAGGGAGGAAGGUAGUCGUAGUUAACACCUGUCCACUAUUUGAACGUUACCUACAGAAGAAGCACCGGCUAACUCCGUGCCAGCAGCCGCGGUAAUACGGAGGGUGCGAGCGUUAAUCGGAAUUACUGGGCGUAAAGCGCAUGCAGGCCGGCCUGUUAAGUCAGAUGUGAAAGCCCCGGGGCUUAACCUCGGAAUUGUCAUUUUGAAACUGGCAGGCUAGAGUCUUGUAGAGGGGGUAGAAUUUCAGGUGUAGCGGUGAAAAUGCGUAGAGAUCUGAAGGAAUACCCAGUGGCGAAGGCCGGCCCCCCUGGACAAAGACUGACGCUCAGAUGCGAAAGCGUGGGGAGCCAAAACAGGAUUAGACUACCCCUGGGUAG
RNAcentral lists this ribosomal RNA (398 nucleotides) under uncultured bacterium. RNAcentral describes it as "bacterial SSU rRNA". It matches the Rfam family "Bacterial small subunit ribosomal RNA", at positions 419 to 793 of the family's 1533-position model. The record is from RNAcentral.